Drosophila sulfurigaster albostrigata is the source of this 849-nucleotide long non-coding RNA. RefSeq lists it as uncharacterized. The transcript has 3 exons. The record is from RefSeq and is a predicted model, not a curated record. Lineage: Eukaryota; Metazoa; Arthropoda; Insecta; Diptera; Drosophilidae.
AGAAUUUACAAAAAUACAGAAUCAAUAUAAUACCUAGAAAUAAUGUCAUAAAAUAAUCGAAUUUGAAAAUUUGCUUGGUUACUUAUUAUACCGUAAAUUUAUGUUUCUCUUUGCGACGCAAACGUUCUGACCCAAGGGCGCUCGCUCAGGUAAUGCAUUAAGUCCCAUGGCACAGACCAGAAGCUAAGGGGGCCGAGACCUGUUUGAAGUUCUUUGAAUUUUGUGAAUAGAAUUGAAAUUCAUCAAAUGAAUUUGUUGACCCGCUGGCACAGUGGCCAAAUAAUUUAUGUGACUUUCGAUGCUGAUGCUGAUGUUGAUGUUUAUCUGCAGCUGAAGGUAAGGCGGAAAGUAGCUUAUCGACAGCACAGCUCAUGAUAUUUUUGCUGGCCGAAGCAAAACUGAAACGUAGUGAUGAAAACCUUUUGAUAAGCGAAGAAUAACAGUUGACUUCUGUUGUGGAGACUGUGAUUUAUUUGGCUUUUAAAGCGCAUUUUAAAGUGCUCAACCGUAAAAACAAACAGUUGAAAAUUCUGCUGACUUUUAUGUUCAGUCAUAAAAAAAAAUUGUAUGUUUGUUGUUGCAGUUGUUGAAGUCGAGUCCCAGGCUCAUAUUUGCGCUAGCAUUUUUUAAUUUUUUUGAUACUAAUUAAAAAUUGUAUAUUUAUCAAAGUUAGAGCGUGACAGCAGAGGGCAAAGCAAUUUGCCGAAAUAACCGAAAACUAAAAACAUAUGCGGCAAAGCAAACGCAUGUGCACAACAUCCGGACGCACACAUAUUUUUGCGGGCAGAAAGAUUUUUGUUGACAGAAGUUUACAAUAAAACGAAAGUUUAAUGCACAAGUUUUUGCCCC